UCAGUUAAGUACUUCAUAGUCAGUCAUAGAUUAUGUCGCCACAGUCCUACUAACCACAGCUUAGACUCAAAGGACUUGGCGGUGCUUCAUAUCCCUCUGUAGGAGCCUGUUCUAUAAUCGAUCAACCUCGAUCAACCUCAUCAACCAUUGCUACUUCCGUCUAUAUACCGUCAUAUUCAGCUUCA
This 185-nucleotide ribosomal RNA is filed under the name Hoplobatrachus tigerinus (Indus valley bullfrog). RNAcentral's name for it is "partial 12S ribosomal RNA". The record is from RNAcentral. Lineage: Eukaryota; Metazoa; Chordata; Amphibia; Anura; Dicroglossidae.